UGGUUUUGGGAGUUGGAGGGGAAAUUAGGAUGUGGGAUUUGGAGAAGAUAGUGGAAGAGAGUAGAGGGUUGGAGGAGAGAGCGGACGCCAUUGUUGGAGGGGUUUUGAGCUCUCUUGACUUAUACGUGGUCUUGGUUCUUUCUCAAGCUUAUAUAUAUUAUCCCGUUUCUGCUGUAAAUCUCCUUGUUGUGCUGGUGGUGUGG
This 203-nucleotide long non-coding RNA is filed under the name Linum usitatissimum (flax). RNAcentral's name for it is "long non-coding RNA (LUSI_LNC000044)". Lineage: Eukaryota; Viridiplantae; Streptophyta; Magnoliopsida; Malpighiales; Linaceae. The record is from RNAcentral.